UCUCUUCACGAACAAACAAGUUGUUGACAUUUUGUGUUAAGUUCCUAAAUACUUCUUCUGGAAAAUUCAGGACAGAAGUUAGAUUUGAGCAGAGACAUCAGCGCCUGCUGUGUGUUUAGACGAUGUUGUUUAGACAGUGGUAA
Molecule: long non-coding RNA, 143 nt
Organism: Etheostoma spectabile (orangethroat darter)
Lineage: Eukaryota; Metazoa; Chordata; Actinopteri; Perciformes; Percidae
Exons: 4
Source: RefSeq, a predicted model, not a curated record